This 465-nucleotide ribosomal RNA is filed under the name uncultured bacterium. RNAcentral's name for it is "bacterial SSU rRNA". It matches the Rfam family "Bacterial small subunit ribosomal RNA", at positions 335 to 793 of the family's 1533-position model. The record is from RNAcentral.
CAUCCUACGGGAGGCAGCAGUGGGGAAUAUUGCACAAUGGGCGCAAGCCUGAUGCAGCCAUGCCGCGUGUAUGAAGAAGGCCUUCGGGUUGUAAAGUACUUUCAGCAGUGAGGAAGGUGGGUAUGUUAAUAGCAUAUUCAUUUGACGUUAGCUGCAGAAGAAGCACCGGCUAACUCCGUGCCAGCAGCCGCGGUAAUACGGAGGGUGCGAGCGUUAAUCGGAAUUACUGGGCGUAAAGCGCAUGCAGGUGGUUUGUUAAGUCAGAUGUGAAAGCCCGGGGCUCAACCUCGGAAUUGCAUUUGAAACUGGCAAACUAGAGUACUGUAGAGGGGGUAGAAUUUCAGGUGUAGCGGUGAAAUGCGUAGAGAUCUGAAGGAAUACCGGUGGCGAAGGCGGCCCCCUGGACAGAUACUGACACUCAGAUGCGAAAGCGUGGGGAGCAAACAGGAUUAGAUACCCUGGUAG